UAGCAUUCUGCCUAGCAACCAACUCCACCCAGCAACAAAAGUCUUCUUGACAAUGUGAUCCAAACCUUGCAGACUAAAAGAAUGAUGACAGGCCCAGUGAUUUAUCAGAUCAUUCAGGGAGCCCUCAACCAGAGAAGAGCAGGUCCUGGACUCCAUGGGCUAUCUGCCGUCCCAGUGUCCAGGGGAAACAAGGCAAUGUGACCACGGCUUCUUGAAGCUGCUAUUGGACUGAAGGAACAAAACGAUGUCAUCAUUCAUAGAGAAGGAUAGUUCUCUGCAUUUGCUGUGUUGGAAUCUGUGCAAGUUAUCUUAAAAUGUCCUUCAGGCUGGCAUUAAGAAUGUAACAAGGAAAUGAACACAGUCUCUGCAUGUCUGAUCUCCACACUUAACUGUUAAUACUGAUUACAACACUGGGAUAAAGACCACUAGAUACCAGUUCUGCUGGGGGAGGAAGGAAGACCUUAUGGAAAGGAAACGAUCUGACCUCAGUUGUAAAGAAUAACAGGGUUGCCAAGCAGGCAAGACAGGAAAAAUCAAGGGAGGAAAGAAACAAUAUACUUAAAGGCACCGGGGAAUAAAAGCACAUGUAUGAGACUAUGGGGACACGACAAUUCAAUGCGAUAUGGGAUCUUGGAAUGGAUCCUGGAGCAGAAAAAUGACAUUUGUGGAAAACUUAUUGUGAAAUCCAAAUAAAUUCUGUGUUAACAGU
Callithrix jacchus (white-tufted-ear marmoset) is the source of this 709-nucleotide non-coding RNA. NCBI's taxonomy places the organism in Eukaryota, Metazoa, Chordata, Mammalia, Primates, Cebidae. The record is from RefSeq and is a predicted model, not a curated record.